UUGGGCUUCUUUUGGAUACUUUACCACAUCUUGCCUCUUUUUUUUCCCCCUUCUUUUGGUUGGUGCUUUUCAUUUUUCUCCCUUUUCAAUAACCUAUGUCAUGGUUGGAGAUGUAUCUGUAUGUCAUUUAUUUACAUUUUCUUCCUGUAUUUUCUUUUUUUCUUCCUCUUUGCACAUGUGGUCUAAUUUGCAACCCGAUAUUUCUAAUUGAUUAACAAGUUAUCUUCCAGUUUCCAGAUGAGCUUGACCCUCUUUGAACUGUUAAGAAUUUAUCAUCUCAUUGUUCUAGACAGUGCACAGUGAGAAGGACGAACAUUUUUGGGAAAUAUCUUUCAUUUUAUUUUCUGAAGUUUUUUAACCCUAUUUUAUUUACCUAUAAUAUAGCUUAGGAUAAGUAGCAGUAAACAAUAAAUAAUAAUUUAUAGGUAUAGUAAUAUAUUAUUAUUGGGGCAGCAUUUUCCCCAUUGGCAGAUGAGGGAUAGCUUCUUAUCUUCACUAUAUGGACCUUAGUAUUUUCUGUAUGGAAUUGUAGUUGGUGAUCAAAAUCUUUUUGACAUGUUGUCCAUAUCAUUGUUGAUUCAUCUGUUAAAUUUCACCCUGAAAGCAUUUCACAGUAUGACAAAAUCGGCAGCUCAAUGUAAGUCAAGAUUUGGAUGGCUGGUCAAUGACAUGGUCCUCUAUCUACCCAAUGGUUAGAAUUGCAUGUCAUCCCUUUACUUGUAGGACAACUGAAAAUAUACUGGAGAAAAUCCAUUAGAUGGUGGGACAUAUGGUUGGGAAUUGAAAUGGGCCCUGAAAUUUGACAUUUUCUUUUUGGUAAGAAAUUUGACAUGUAAACCUAUAUAAGGUCUCUUCCAUCCAUCCAAUGGUCGAAUUCACCAUGUCAUCCCUUCACUUGGCUCAAGAAGAUUGUCAGAUUAGAAUUAUGGACAAAGAAGUCCUUUUGGUAAUAAUACUUAUAAAUCACUGAUAAUAAGAUUAUCAGGGUACAUUUUCCUACAAGGUUGGUCCCAUUAAGGAGUUUGUCACAUACUGGGUUUUCAACAAGUUGCAUCUUAAGUGUUGGCGCAGCCAUCAAUGUAUUUGACACCUUUGCUUUUCCUAUUUUUCACUCCAAUAGAUCUAUGCAACAUGGAAAAAUAAUUUUUGGAGUUUUUUUUUUUCUUUAUUUCAUUUGAGCUUGAAACAUGGCGACUGAGUCCAUUUGUUUGCAACCUUUGUGCAUCUACCUCUCCCUAUUAUGCAGUUUGCAGUUUGUUAUCUCUGCCACAUGGCAGAAGGAGAUCCCUUUGCUUCACCUUUUAACUUGAAAAUUGGAAGUUCUACCUAUGAUAUUCUGUUAAAGGUAACACUUUAUACAUGGUCACGGUUGUAAAGUACUUGGUAACAAUGACUCUGUUGAGCGAGGCUAAUCUCUCCCAUCAGCUAUUGAUAUGGAUAAGGAUUCUUGCUGGAGCUGGAUUCAAUUUCAUCUUGUUUUAAGAGGGCAGGCCUCAGCGCAACAGUAAGGUUGCUCCAUUGCAACCUAGUGGUCGUGGGUUCUAGUCAGGAAGCAGCCUCUCCGCAAAGUAGGGAUAAGUAAAUCUUCUCGGAUUUUCAUCUCCCCGGAAAGAAAAAAAGGGAAUCUUGGAAAGUCUCAUCUAAGAUUUAGUCUUCCUCCAUUUUUUGGUAUGAGAGCUACCAAAAGUGAUAGUCUGUCGAUCCCAUCUUGUCAUUCACGACUGCGUCAACUGCCAAUAAAUGAGUACCAAAGAACUUCUUAGCAUAUACCUUAUCCAUCUAGUCUCCGUCAAACCAACACCGUGUGACUAACUAACUAUUAAGCCAGCUUGCUCAUUGUUGAUAAGUCAGAAGCUACUGCAAAUGUGGGUGGAUCAAGCUUUCCUUUCAUGAAAAAAGCUGAUGAAAUAAGGGAGAUAACCAAUCCAUAUUCACCCUGUGGAAGACUAUCAGCUUCAUCUUUCUUUUAUCCUGGUGACUUUUACAGAAAAAGAUAUUGUUGAAGUUGUUGGCCUCAACAGAUUGAGUAGAUUGGCAAGUGCAAUACAUGGUUUCAAUAUUUGAAGACUGGAGCACAUCAAUUGAAAUGAGAACUUGGAAUGUGCUCAUGAGGUACAUCUUUGGGUUCUGGGAUUGCUGACUAUCUUUGGUGCUUUGAAGGAAUCUGUGAUUUUCUUGUAGCACAGGAAAGUCUUGUGGCUAACAUAAAGCUUUGUUCCCCAAAAUUUUUUCAUUAGAUCGAGUCAAUGAGAUAUCUUAUGCAUGUCAGCAGAUGGAGCGUGAUGUUUGUCUUGGUUCUUUCCCAUAAGAAGCCUAGUGUUCUUGUUUUUAUUGGUUUUUGCUUAUGGCAUCUGCUGACUCAAGUUUUACCUUCAUAUAGAACAUCUGUAUUCUUUUCCCUUCACUCCUAUGAUCUCUCAGUCAAGGAUGAUAGGAAGCAAAAAAAGAAAAAGAAAAAGAAGAAAAAAAAUGAAAUCAGAUUUUUGUGGCUGUUGCUAGAUUCUUAUGGGUUAUUAUGUUCAGACAAAAUCUGUUUUUGGCCGAAAGGCUCAGUCCUUUUCAUUCGAUUGUGGGCUCUUCAUUUUUUUUGUCCUUCCAUUAUAUUUCACUUUCUUCAUUCUGCUACUUUAUGCUUUCUUCCCUUAUGUUCUUUUCAUGGUUUCUUAAACCCUCCCCCCCCCCCCCCCACCCCCCA
Long non-coding RNA from Macadamia integrifolia, 2695 nucleotides. RefSeq lists it as uncharacterized. The record is from RefSeq and is a predicted model, not a curated record. The transcript is spliced from 2 exons. Lineage: Eukaryota; Viridiplantae; Streptophyta; Magnoliopsida; Proteales; Proteaceae.